CGAAAUGCGAUAAGUAAUGUGAAUUGCAGAAUUCAGUGAACCAUCGAAUCUUUGAACGCACAUUGCGCCCCUCGGGUCUCCCGAGGGGUAUGCCUGUCCGAGCGUCAUGCUUCCUGUCGGACCCCCGCUGUGGGGUCCGGAGCUGGGCUCCGCGAGGCCCCCGGAGACGGGGUGUGGCGCGGGCCUGAAAGUUGACCGGAGCCACCUGGGGGGCGAAGCGACCAAGGUUCUCACGCCAUCGCUCCAUCCUCCCUCGGGGCUGCCGGUCCAAGAAGGUCAGCCCCUGCUGGCCUUGAAGGGUCUACCAUCGCAAAGCGAUCGACCUCGGAUCAGGUAGGGAUACCCGCUGAACUUAAGC
This 358-nucleotide unclassified non-coding RNA is filed under the name plant metagenome. RNAcentral describes it as "partial contains 5.8S ribosomal RNA, internal transcribed spacer 2, and large subunit ribosomal RNA". The stretch from base 1 to 107 matches the Rfam family "5.8S ribosomal RNA", at positions 49 to 154 of the family's 154-position model. The record is from RNAcentral.